CAAUGAAUGUUGAAAUGCAAAGACUGUGGUGCCUCUGUGUCACGAAGAUCUGAGCUUCUUAAACAUUAUAAACUUGAACACAGACAUUAUGGACGCCGCCAUUCCUAUCCAUGCAUCCAUUUAAACUGUCCGUGUACCUGCAAAACUUGGAAGGCACUUUUGACCCACUUGUCAAGAUCUCAUCAGCCAUCCUCACAAACUGAACUAACCACAUUUAAAUGUCUCUUAUGCAACUGCAAUGAACGUUCAACUUUAACAGACUAUUUUCAACAUAUAGCUCAGCAUCUGAAAAAUAGUGAAACUGCUGAUUGUGUGUUUCAGGGGUGUUCGUACAGAACAAAUAUUUAUGGUUCAUUUCGGACUCACAGAAGCAGAAAUCAUAAGAAUUGCUCAGUAAAUGACUUAAAGCCUGAAAUAGUAGAGAAACAGGGGUCAAGUUUGGGUGUUUCUGUUGAAAGUGAUUGUUCUGAUAGUGUUGGUUUUGAGCCCCCAGAUUUAAGUGCAGAGGACUUGGAUGAUUCAAGUUUUGAUUUAAAUGACUUGACACAUAAUGUUGAGCUCAAAGUUGCCUCUCUCUUACUGAAGCUAGAACAUAUUUAUCUUGUGUCUAGUGUUGCUGUUGAUGAACUUUUGCAAGAGUUUGACUAUUUAAUUAGCACUGCUUCUGUCCCUCUUAUCCAUCAAACCAUAUCUCACCACUUACGGAAUGGCAACUGUCAAGUAGAUGAAACUGUUCUGCAAGAGUUAGCAUCUACUAUUUGCAAGUCAAAUCCAAUCACAGCAUCAUUUAGUGGUCGUGGCCCACUUUCCACUGCCUGGAAGCAAAAGGCGUACUACAAAAAACAUUUUAAAACAGUAGAACCUACAGAAUUUGUACUCGACUCCCAAAACAAAAAAUCAUUUCAAUACAUCUCUAUACUAAAAUCGUUACAGCAGAGUCUAAGUUGUCAAACUUUUCUAGAUCUAUCAAUCAAUUUGAAAUCUCCUCAUCAAAUUCAAUCUGAUAGAAUUCAGUAUAGGUGCUUUUAUGAUGGUAGUAAUUAUAAAGAAAAUUUGCAGUUGUCAAAAGAGUGUGCAAUUUCACUUAUUUUGUACGUAGAUGAUUUUGAAGUCUGCAAUCCCCUUGGUACCUCGAGAAAAAAACACAAAAUCUGUGGGGUAUAUUGGGCAUUAGGAAACUUACCUGCUAGUUGUCACUCAUCACUAUCUAAUAUAUAUUUAGCUGCACUUAUUCGUAGUGAGGAUGUCAAGUGUUAUGGUUUUGACAGUGUACUGAAGCCCUUAAUAGAUGAUCUUAUCACAUUACAACAACAAGGACUGUUUAUUGCCAAGUUGGGGAAAACUGUGAAAGGCUUUGUUCAUUGUGUAGUAGCAGACAAUCUCGGGGCCCACGGUAUCGCAGGUUUCGUGGAAAAUUUUUCAGGUAAAUAUUUUUGCAGAUUUUGUACAGCAGAAAAUGUAGACAUUCAAACAAAAGAAGUCAAGUCUGGAGCAUUCUGUUUAAGAAUAAAGGAAAUUCAUACUUCUCAUCUGAGAGCUAUCGAAGAAAAUUCAUUGAAUUGUCAUUUUGGUGUAAAAACAAAGUGUGUGCUGUCAGAAAAUCUGUCAUAUUUCAGUGUGACAGAGAGUUUUCCCUCAGAUAUAGCUCAUGAUCUGUUUGAAGGAAUUAUCCCAGUUGAGAUUGCUCUUUGUCUUGAUGUACUGAUUUCUAAAAAAUAUUUUACAUUAGCCAAUUUGAAUGAAGCAAUAACAACGUUUCCAUUUAAGUGGACUGAUAAGACAAACCGCCCCCAUCUUGUGCCCCUCACCUACACUACAAAAAGAACAAUUGGAGGAAAUGCACAUGAGAAUUGGAGCCUGCUGAGAUUUCUUCCUCUCUUGAUUGGAGCCAGAGUUCCUUCAAGUGAACCAGUGUGGCAGGUCCUGUGUGAAUUAAAAGACAUAGUAGAACUUGUUGUUGCACCUCUUCAUACUGAGGACUCUAUUUCUUAUCUAGACUUCAAGAUAUCCGAACACAGGGCAGUAUUCCAAGAGGUUUUCCCCCAUGAAAGAAUUCGGCCCAAACAUCACUUCUUGGAGCAUUAUCCCCUGUUGAUCCGCCAGUUUGGCCCCCUUGUUGCACUAUGGACUAUGAGAUUUGAAGCAAAACAUAGCUUCUUCAAAAGAGUAAUCCGUCAUACAAACUGUUACAAAAAUGUAUUGUAUUCAUUAGCCCAGAGGCACCAAUUUCAAACUGCAUAUAAUCUGCACAUGUCUGGAUUUUCUAAGCCAUCUCUGGAGGUUACUGAUCUUUCAACACUUCCCCUUGAUGUUCUGAAUGAGGAUAUUGUACUGGCAGUCAAAGAGAAACACCCACAUAUGGACACUGUGAACCUUGCAAAAAAUGUAUCCUACAAUGGUUACAACUACAGGACUGGAAUGGUGGUAGCCCAUGGGUCGCUGGCUGGACUUCCAGAGUUUUGUGAAAUAGUUCAGAUGAUUGUGCUACAAGAGACACUAUUUUUUAUUGUCAAAAAACUGAAUGCCUGGUACCUGGAGCAUUAUCGAGCCUAUGACUUAGUCGUAUCUGCUACUAAAGAACUACGGCUUGUUGGGGUGCAAGAACUGACAGAUCCCUACCCUCUGGCUCACUACAUGGUUGGCGGACGGCGCAUCAUCUCUCUGAAGAGAUACAUACAUGUAUAAGGUUGUAUAUGAAUGGGUGUAGGUUUUCUCAAUUAAUUUUCUCAUUUUUUCACAUGCUUUUGUUUUAUUAGUCUAUUUAAUUGUCAGAAAAAAAUGCACCCAGUUUGCCAAGAAUGUCCCCUUUUCCUCUAAUAGCUCCUGACCUAAUUCUAAUGAAAUAGGCAUAUUUUUUUUGAAGGUAACAUUAGGCCUUAGCAGUUUGAUUUUCACAAAUAUUGGUAAUUUCCUUUCUCUUUCAUUCAUUCAUUCAUUCAUUCAUUAUUUCAUUCAUUCAUACAUAUUCAGUUCAUAUUUACUGUGAAAUGUCUUAUUUUUUCACCAGAAUUUUUUCACCAGAAUUUUGACUAUGAAUUGGCUCUAAGUUAUGGCUAAUUUUGUACCACACCUAAUACUGUAUUUUUAUUCUUGUCUUUACUAGAUCCUUUUGGAUGGGCUGACAUGGCAGAGAAAAGGCCAGCUAAGUUGCGAGUGAUUUUAAAUCCUGAUGACACCAGGAAGCUAAUUCUGCCUGGUGGAAUUCCAGAGACAGUGGAAGAGCUUAUCAAUCAAGUCAGGAAGAUGUGUGGAUUAAAUGGCAAUUUUAGACUGCAGUACCAAGACAGAGACUUUGGAGAUGCACUAGUGAACUUGACAUCUACUACUGAACUUGAAAAUUUGGCAACUAUCAAGGUCAUCCCAGUAUCUGAUGAUAGCCCAGCCAUCCCUGUCUGUGAUGAGGUAGAAUCUACUCAAACAGAUGACACAGAGCUCCUGUCCUCACCCUCCAGCUCUGUCUCUACAAGAACCCAGAUGUGGCCAAGAGAGUUUCCGAUACCAGCAUUCUCCUAUGACACUGAACUGCAGUUAGAAAAGGGAAAUUCAGUGUAUAGGUCAAACAAGAGACCAUUGACACCAAGUCCUAAAACAAUAUCAGAUAUUCUGAAAAAGGUAGCUGAAGAGAUUUACAAGUACAAACCCUACCCAACAGAUGCUGACUUCAGUGACGUAGCCGAAGCACUAAUCAAGAAGCAUCCAUGCCUCUCUGAACCUGGUUCGUACAACGGUUGCUACGGAUGGAAAGGCCGGCUGAAGACAAAAAUGGGCAACUACCGAACUCAGCUAAAGGGCAUAGGAUGUGCUGAAUUACUUGCAAAUUCACUGAAGUCCAAAGCUCCGGAGGAUGCAUUGCCAGCAAAAAAAGUAAAGAGACCUAGGAGAGGAGAAGCCAACCACAUUCCUGACAUUCCAACUGGAGAGACUCCAGAUAAUUUGGAAGAUGACAGAGUGACACUUUUGAGUGAGGAAGCGAAACAAUCGUGCAGUGAUAAAGAACAAAAUGGACAAGACCUUUUCACUGCGAAGACAAGAAAUUGUGGCAAAGGAAUCAGGAGUGGAAGAGGUGAAAGAGAGAUGGCCUGCAUUGUUCACAGUGGAUGAGAUCAAUGCUGAAUUUAUGAGGAUUACUACUGUUCCACUUCAACCGCGAUUCCUGGCUUCUUUGGACAAGCACCACAGCAAGCUGAUUGAGAUCAUCAGGAACAAGGGAGGAGCUGUCAGAGAGAAGACACGGGGUGUGCUGAAAGUUCUUGAUCAGAGCCUGGAUGUGAGCCUAAAGAGAGAGUGUCUGCUGAAGUGCCUCAUCUUGUACCUUGGGGAAGACGUACAAAAACUGAUCAAGGAGUUUCUGGUUGCUGAGAAGGAUGACGCCGAAAGAGAGCUUCAGCAGUGCACAAUGGCGGUGUUUGUCAUCAGGGAGGAAGAGGAUCCGUUAAAGCCACCAUGUGACAUAGGCAUCAUUAUUAAAGGUGUGGAGGUGCUUAAUGAGCUGCCAUCAGUUGCACAUUGAUGUGCCCUCUUAUUUGGCCUCAUCUAUGCUCUAAACUUGAGCUAUCCAGGUGAGCUCAAACACACUUUCGAUGCGCUGCAGAAAAUAUUCAUGGAGAUUGAACCAAAGAGAAUGACACGCAGAGUGUGCAGUCUGAGUGUCAAGCUCUAAAUAUGGGGUUGCUCAAAGAAAGACAUUUAGAUACAACAUGUUGUUCUGUUUUAUUGCUUGUAUUCAAAUACAUUCCAGGAUAAUGUAAGGGGUCAUUGUUACAUAAGAGAGAAACUAGCUUUAAUUCAAAACACGAUUUAAUUUGUGAUUUUCUGUGUUAACAGAAUUCUUUCUGUUGUAUAAAUAUUGUGGCACAUAUAUCAACACUGAAAUGUGAAUAAUGCUAAAUUCAGUAAGCAGUGUAAGAGCACUAGUGGUUAUGUUUUUUUCCUUGAACUGCCUUUAUUCAUAAUUGCACUCACAGCAGCUGUGUUUUUCCUUGCUUUAUUUUUUGGGGUCCCCUGCAUUUGUAAUGGUUCAAAAAUAAUGAUAUUCCUACAUUUAUAUCAUUUUGUCAAAUGAUAGCAAAGAGUUAACACUGUUUCUAUUUUUAUACUGUUUUAUUACUGUUACUGUUUUAUAAUGCUGUUACUUUGGAUCUCUGACGUUUUAAAGAAGAGGUGAACAAACCAGUUUUACAUGUUAAGAUGUGUAAGUUGAUGUGUUUACAGUUUCAUUAGGUGUAAAAAAAAACAUGAUGAAAAGACCACAUUUUAUUUAAUUUUACAUGAAAGUUUUUUUUUCCUAAGUGUUGUUGUGUAAAACACACACUGGCCUGUUGUACUGGUAACAACAUUGACAUAGUUUUAUUAAGUUUUUGAUGGGUUUUUUAUUAUUAUUUUGAACGGUGAUGCAAUUUUCAGAAUCAUCAAAAAUAAACGGUCUUUUGAAGAGAAUUUUCCUGUUUUUAGUUUUAUCUGCAGUGAAUCGGUUCAGUGAAUUCUAGUUUUAUAUUAUAGGGAAUUUAGCUUUUGUUUGUGGUGAAAAUUUAAGUUGUAAAAAGUAAAAAAAAAACCAUCAUUAUUUGACCUACUUGACCUACAUUAACUAACACUUU
Molecule: RNA transcript, 5597 nt
Organism: Epinephelus moara (kelp grouper)
Lineage: Eukaryota; Metazoa; Chordata; Actinopteri; Perciformes; Serranidae
Exons: 5
Source: RefSeq, a predicted model, not a curated record